CUCUUUUUAUAUCAUAGUUCAUUUCUGUGUGUGUGUUACAUUUUUUUCUGUUGUGUAGUAGUUCUACGUUUAUAUUUGAUGCGUUUCACUCAGUUUUAGUUUGUAACCCGGAUUUGUUUUUUUCUCAAUCGAUUUAUGAAUUUCGACCGUCGGUAUACUACUGUUGCCUUUAUUUAGAUUCAUAAAAUACGGAAUAUUAGUCUGAGGUCAAGAAGCUGUGAAGGAUUAAUUUUGGUCUAGUUACUUCAAUUUAAACCUUAAAAUUGAUUUAUUUUUAAAACUAAGAUGCAGUGAGAACGUAAAUAAUACUUUUAUCUACAAGAUAUCAAAUAACAAGGAUAUGAUCAACGGUUUAUCACAGUACGGCCUUACUAUUUUCUAGUAUUGACUUUUCUUGGAAGAUUUCUAAUGA
RNAcentral lists this long non-coding RNA (412 nucleotides) under Mytilus galloprovincialis (Mediterranean mussel). The record is from RNAcentral. Lineage: Eukaryota; Metazoa; Mollusca; Bivalvia; Mytilida; Mytilidae.